AGUGAACGCUGGCGGUAGGCCUAACACAUGCAAGUCGAACGGCAGCACAGUAAGAGCUUGCUCUUACGGGUGGCGAGUGGCGGACGGGUGAGGAAUACAUCGGAAUCUACUUUUUCGUGGGGGAUAACGUAGGGAAACUUACGCUAAUACCGCAUACGACCUACGGGUGAAAGCAGGGGAUCUUCGGACCUUGCGCGAUUGAAUGAGCCGAUGUCGGAUUAGCUAGUUGGCGGGGUAAAGGCCCACCAAGGCGAUGAUCCGUAGCUGGUCUGAGAGGAUGAUCAGCCACACUGGAACUGAGACACGGUCCAGACUCCUACGGGAGGCAGCAGUGGGGAAUAUUGGACAAUGGGCGCAAGCCUGAUCCAGCCAUACCGCGUGGGUGAAGAAGGCCUUCGGGUUGUAAAGCCCUUUUGUUGGGAAAGAAGAGCAGCAGGUUAAUACCCCGCUGUUCUGACGGUACCCAAAGAAUAAGCACCGGCUAACUUCGUG
RNAcentral lists this ribosomal RNA (492 nucleotides) under uncultured bacterium. RNAcentral describes it as "partial 16S ribosomal RNA". It matches the Rfam family "Bacterial small subunit ribosomal RNA", at positions 29 to 507 of the family's 1533-position model. The record is from RNAcentral.